RNAcentral lists this ribosomal RNA (892 nucleotides) under Taphrina populina. Its description in RNAcentral is "LSU rRNA". It matches the Rfam family "Eukaryotic large subunit ribosomal RNA", at positions 46 to 955 of the family's 3401-position model. The record is from RNAcentral. Lineage: Eukaryota; Fungi; Ascomycota; Taphrinomycetes; Taphrinales; Taphrinaceae.
CAUAGCGCAGGAAAAGAAACUAACUAGGAUGCCUUCAGUAACGGCGAAGCGAAGCAGGCAUAGCUCAAAUUUGUAAUCUGGCGUCUUUGACGUCCGAGUUGUAUUUUCUAGAAGCGAGUUCGGCGACAGCUCCUACCCAAGUCCGUUGGAACGCGGCGUCAUGGAGGGUGAGAAUCCCGUGAAUGGUAGGAUGUCUGCUGCUAUGUGAACCGCCUUCGAAGAGUCGAGUUGUUUGGGAAUGCAGCUCUAAAUGGGAGGUAAAUUUCUUCUAAAGCUAAAUAUUGGCCAGAGACCGAUAGCGAACAAGUAGAGUGAUCGAAAGAUGAAAAGAACUUUGAAAAGAGAGUUAAACAGUACGUGAAAUUGUUGAAAGGGAAGCGCUUGAGAUCAGACUUCCUGUCUAAAUUGUCCUUGCUUUUGCUUGGAAUCACAGUUUAGGCGUGGAGGCCAGCAUGAGUUUUGACGGCCGGAUAAAGGCUUUGGGAAGGUAGCUCCUCUCGAGGAGUGUUAUAGCCCAGAGUGUAAUACGGCCAGUUGGGACUGAGGACCGCGGCUUUGCCUAGGAUGCUGGCGUAAUGGUCUUAAGCGACCCGUCUUGAAACACGGACCAAGGAGUCUAACAUCUGUGCGAGUGUUUGGGUGGAAAACCCGUGCGCGUAAUGAAAGUGAAUGGAGGUGGGAUCCSCAAGGUGCWCCAUCGMCCGAUCCGGAUUUUUUUGAAGGAUUUGAGUAAGAGCAUAGCUGUUGGGACCCGAAAGAUGGUGAACUAUGCCUGAAUAGGGCGAAGCCAGAGGAAACUCUGGUGGAGGCUCGUAGCGGUUCUGACGUGCAAAUCGAUCGUCGAAUUUGGGUAUAGGGGGCGAAAGACUAAUCGAACCAUCURGUAGCUGGU